ACGGGGAAAAGCUGUCCACAGGUGCACAGAGGACUGAUCCCCGGAGACCAGUCCCCAGCAGGCCAGCUGGGUGAGGAGGGCUAGGAAUAAAGAUGUUUAUAUGUGACAAGACUGACGCCUGACUUGCCAUCUCUAAGUGCAUGUAGCUGUGGAUUCCUAGAACUGGGCAGCCCCGUUCUACAGUGCAACAGCAUGAAGGCCAGCAGUCACUAGGCAACAGGGGAAGAGGCGUUCAUCACCUGUGAAGCAAAGCCAAGAAGCGGCCCCUGCAGGCUGGCAGAGCUACCGCUGGUCCUGAAGCCGAGAGACAGGAUUCCCAGGAACAUCUUGAGUGAGUUCCCUGCUUCCACGACACCAUGGUGGCAGGUGCCAAACAUCUCCUGGUCAUCUGUGAUGUAUCAAAUCCACAAAUAUCUCUGGAGAAACACCUCUGAAGGGCCAACGGGGUUAGUAGCAAGCAGCCGAAACUGCACCUGAAGCCAAAUGGAGUCUUCCCUUGGGGGUGGCUUUUUGGAUCACCAGAUUUUCCUAGUUUUUCUACAAAGGCUAGAAAAUCAAUUUUCUUCAAGGAGAAGCUUUUGAAUUUUUUAGCUGG
This 595-nucleotide long non-coding RNA is filed under the name Mus pahari (shrew mouse). Its description in RNAcentral is "lncRNA (MGP_PahariEiJ_G0004086.1)". The record is from RNAcentral. Lineage: Eukaryota; Metazoa; Chordata; Mammalia; Rodentia; Muridae.